UAACAAGGUCUCCGUAGGUGAACCUGCGGAGGGAUCAUUACAAGAACGCCUGGGCUUCGGCCUGGUUAUUCAUAACCCUUUGUUGUCCGACUCUGUUGCCUCCGGGGCGACCCUGCCUUCGGGCGGGGGCUCCGGGUGGACACUUCAAACUCUUGCGUAACUUUGCAGUCUGAGUAAACUUAAUUAAUAAAUUAAAACUUUUAACAACGGAUCUCUUGGUUCUGGCAUCGAUGAAGAACGCAGC
RNAcentral lists this unclassified non-coding RNA (244 nucleotides) under uncultured fungus. RNAcentral's name for it is "partial contains 18S rRNA, ITS1, 5.8S rRNA". The stretch from base 1 to 40 matches the Rfam family "Eukaryotic small subunit ribosomal RNA", at positions 1792 to 1831 of the family's 1831-position model. The record is from RNAcentral. Lineage: Eukaryota; Fungi.